This 397-nucleotide ribosomal RNA is filed under the name uncultured bacterium. Its description in RNAcentral is "partial 16S ribosomal RNA". It matches the Rfam family "Bacterial small subunit ribosomal RNA", at positions 523 to 918 of the family's 1533-position model. The record is from RNAcentral.
AUACGUAGGUGACAAGCGUUAUCCGGAUUUACUGGGCGUAAAGGGCGUGUAGGCGAUCUUGCAAGUCAGAAGUGAAAUUCCUGAGCUCAACUCGGGCGCUGCUUCUGAAACUGCAGGACUUGAGUGCUGGAGGGGAUAGCGGAAUUCCUAGUGGAGCGGUAAAAUGCGCAGAUAUUAGGAAGAACACCGGUGGCGAAGGCGGCUAUCUGGACAGUAACUGACGCUGAGGCGCGAAAGCGUGGGGAGCAAACAGGAUUAGAUACCCAGGUAGUCCACGCCGUAAACGAUGAAUACUAGGUGUAGGGGGUAUCGACUCCCUCUGUGCCGCAGUUAACACAAUAAGUAUUCCGCCUGGGGAGUACGGCCGCAAGGUUGAAACUCAAAUGAAUUGACGGGG